GUAGGGACCAAGCGUUGUUCGGAUUUACUGGGCGUAAAGGGCGCGUAGGCGGCAUGACAAGUCACUUGUGAAAUCUCCGGGCUUAACUCGGAACGGUCAAGUGAUACUGUCGCGCUAGAGUGCGGAAGGGGCAAUCAGAAUUCUUGGUGUAGCGGUGAAAUGCGUAGAUAUCAAGAGGAAUACCUGAGGUGAAGACGGGUUGCUAGGCCGACACUGACGCUGAAGCGCGAAAGCCAGGGGAGCAAACGGGAUUAGAUACCCCGGUAGUCCUGGCCCUAAACGAUGAAUACUUGGUGUCUGGAGUUUUUAGUGCUCCGGGUGCCGUCGCUAACGUUUUUAGUAUUCCGCCUGGGGAGUACGCUCGCAAGAGUG
This 372-nucleotide ribosomal RNA is filed under the name uncultured bacterium. Its description in RNAcentral is "bacterial SSU rRNA". It matches the Rfam family "Bacterial small subunit ribosomal RNA", at positions 527 to 896 of the family's 1533-position model. The record is from RNAcentral.